RNAcentral lists this long non-coding RNA (4295 nucleotides) under Meleagris gallopavo (turkey). RNAcentral's name for it is "lncRNA (ENSMGAG00000019630.1)". The record is from RNAcentral. Lineage: Eukaryota; Metazoa; Chordata; Aves; Galliformes; Phasianidae.
AUGUUAUUUAAAGCACCAGAACCUGAAAAGAAAAUUCCUGAAAAGCGAAAGCCAGCAGUUCCUGCACCAGUAGAAGAUAUUAAACUGGCAAAAGAACUACUUAAAGCUCCUGAAACAAGGAAGAAAGUUGUGACAGCAAAACCUGUUGAGGCUCCACAAUUGGAACCCCCACCUGCUAAAGGUACCUACCUAAUAGAAAUAUCUUUAUUCUCUGAGGCAUCUUUUGAAACAAGACUUAUAUCUUUCAGUAUAUUCUUCUUUAAUUUGCUCAGAAAUAUAAACUGGUGCCUUUGUUAGAUUAUACUUCAAGAAUAGACUCUAGUCUUGAAUAGAUAUAGUCCAUGUCCUCAUUAAAUUUCCAUUUUACAAUUCGUGAGAUGCAAAAAAGAUAAUAAUGGAAGAGUAAGAAAGUUUUGUCAUUUGUGUUUAUUCCAGUUCUCUGCUUACAGAGAAAUAAGAAUAUGCUCUUUAAAUGUAUAUAGCAUUGUUCAUCCAUACUUACUAUUUGUCUGAAAUGUAACUUUUUUUGUGAAAAGAUGCUUCCAGAAUUAGCUUGUGAAAGAUAAAUUGAGCAAGACACUUCACAAGUACUCCUUUGCAUUCUUCAUACGUACUAGGGUUCUAAGCAACACCAUAUAAAUAUCUCUUCUUAAUGUUUCUUAAAUUUAGAGAUUAAACUAUGAAUAUCAUAGUACAGGUGAAGGUAAUGAAAGAGUUAAAAUGUAACUAUGAUAACUCUCUUUGAAUACGUAACUCUUCUAGUUUUCUUAGUCCAUACUUCAGUUUUGUUAUUUUGUAUGAAAAUUUACUCUUGUGCAUAGGCCUUUAAGACCACUGUGAACAAAUAAUAUGGGAGGUUGAUUGAAAAUACUGACUUCAAUCUCAGCAAUUAUUUGCUUUGAAUGUUCAGUAGUGGACCAGCACUUUAUUUGUGUGUUUGGAGUUGUUAGUUGUUAGUUAGCUCUUUCUACUGGUAUGAACCUAUAAUAAAAUCUGGAAUAACGUUCUUCUAAGUUCCUGGACUUGUAAAGAAACCUCGUAGAAUAAUUCCUGAAGUUACUCCUCCACCGAAAGAAGAAGUUGUUUUGAAAAGAGGUACAGUAACAAUAUAAAACAGUAUAAAACCCCAGCAUACUAACAUUGUUCAGUGUGUUCUCCUAAGUAAUGUUGCUUUAUGUGGUGUAGAAAAUUACAUGAAUAGUGUACUACCUGAUGGGUGUGUAUCGUGGAAAGAGUUUAUAACUGAAGAGAUAAAGCAAGGGCAUAUCAAAAAUUAGUUAAGUCCAAAGGAACUGUGCUGAAAACAGAGUAGAAUGGUGAAAAUCUGUUUCACUGUUGUAACUCUCUUCUGUUUUCUAUUGUCUAUAAAGCUUAUACAAAAACUCAAUUUUUCAGUAUCUUCAGUUCAUGGACACCUACGUAUUUUCCUGUGAUACUGUAGAUUUUACUAAAAAUCACACGUGGCAUUCUCUUUUAUGAUUUUCUUGGAAUUACUGCACUGCUCCCAAGGUCCAGUGGCACUGUUGGACAUCAUUCUCCUUUCCUGCAAAGUCUUGAGCCUUCCAAAUUACUUUGUGCUCAAAGCUUAAAAAAGAAGUAGUAAUUCCCAUUCUCUUUGAAAUACUGAGUGAUCAUUUGUGCCCUUCAAAUUUUAGACCAUCCAAUUCCACAGAUGUUCAGUUUUUCAGAUGAAUCUCAUUAGAUACCCAAAAUGCAUAUCUGACAGGACAAAAAUAACUAAAAUGUAACCCAGACAAGGUAUAAAUUAGAGCUCUCCAAAUACAACAAUUGAAAAUUAUAGUUUUCUUCUCUGAUGGAAGUCAGUAGAUAUUUAAUCCAGAAUCCUUCAUUUUGUCCCUGAAAAUCACCUAUAACUUAAGUUAUUAAUGCAUAAUUGUGUGGUAAUUGAUCAUUAAAUUGUAAUAGAUGCACUUUUUCUCUCAGAAGAAAACACGAGACUGACAGAUGUCAUUCAAAUGUUGUAUAUGGACACUUAUCUGCUAACUAAAUCCUCACAGAAUUAAUCCAAUAUUCACUCACCAUAGAUGCAAAGAUACAUUAAGAACAGUUCCUAAAAUGUGCUGAAAAGAAAGCGCUAAGAAAUUGCAGUGAUGUUAUUUAAUCUAGUAGGACAUUUUGAAUUUCAUAUUGGAUAUUUGUAGAUUAAAAAUAGCUUGACAUGAAAAGCUGUUGUUAACUAACAUGCUUGAUGAAUAUUGUGUAAAUAGAUAAUAUUAUUUUAAAAUAUAUUUUAUCUUCCAUUAUUCUCCUGAAAUACCUACCCAUCAUAUCUUUUCCAUGAAAAUUCUAUGAUAAGAAAUCGUAUUCUGUCAUAGACAGUUAACAUCUUUCUACUCAAAGAGAUUGAUCUUAAAGCAUCUUUUUGCUCUAGGUUAUUUUUAACUGCUUUCAGAAUAGUAUUGUACUGUGUAUUUCAUAUGCCUAUUUCUUCACCAAUUGUAUAUGUUUAGUCUUUUGUCUUACUCACUAUCUAUCUUAUUCAUUUGUUUACCUGUGCUUUAAAAACUGAAAUUACUUUUCUUUUAAAGUUCUUAGAAAGAAACCAGAAGAGGAAGAACCUAAACCAGAGAAAGAACCUAAACCUGAAGUUAAACCAGUACCUACACCAGUAGAAAAAAUUAAGAAACCUGAAGGUACUAGCUUACAUUCAAAUCUGUCUGGUAGAAAAGUUUUGUGGAAAAGAAAAAACAACAAAAAAUUUAAAAAAUAUUCUCUGCAACUCAGAGUUCCAAAAUUCUCUGAAUUUUAAAAUUCAGGUUUGAAUAGAUGAGCUUCAUAAAUGUAGUUUUGUGAAUCAGAGCUUUGCUGGAAGCACCACCAAAUUUGGCAUGCACAUUGGGAUCUGAAUUCUACAAUGUGUGAUUACUUGUCAAUCUGAGUGUAGAAGAGAAAUUUACAAGUAUACUGUAAAACUGAUUGAAAAAGCUGCAGUGAACUGGUUGAUCCAAAUAUUCUUUUAGCCAAGGUCUUCAAAUAUGUGUCCUUUUGUCCAUUUUACUGCUUCUAAUUUAUUCAAAUCCUAGCCUUAAAAAUACAUGUUCUUAAAACUUAAUGUCUCAAAGUCUUGAAAUCUGAAAAGAGUGAAAACUUAAUUAUAUUGGAGAGUGAGGUAUCUGGAGAUCCAAGGUGUUUCAGUGUAUCUUACAAAAUAAUGUUUUAAAGUCUCAGAAGUUCCCAAGAAGAAACCUGAGAUACCUGUCAUUAAAAAGGAGGAGAAACAUGUUCCUGAACCACCAAAAGGUACAGAUGUGUGAUGCUAUUUUUCUUAUUGCAGCAACUAAAUUAUAUUAAUUGCUGCAUUUCAUUUAAACUAAUGCACUGUUGCCAUCCCCUCUGUCCAUGACUAUUGGAUAUGUGUUAACUACUUUGCAUUCUUCAGGAUUUCUUUUUGUUUUUGAUUCUUUAGUGCUUGAAAAAUUCAUCUUUUUUUUCUAUUUUAUCUUGCUUUUAAAGAGUUCAUCUCAAGUAAAUUUCUUGCUUGCUGGCAAAAUUGGUUGGAAACAAUUAAUUAAGUCUGUCCUCCAUUAACUCUGUCUGUAUUGUGGCUUGUAAAUUUUAUGUCCAAUGAGAAUAUAAAUUAUAUAAAUUAACCUAUUUGUGAUUGUUGUGUUUCAAAUGCCAGAACCUAAGCAGGCAGCUAUCUCAGUUCCUGGGCCUGAACCUAAACCUGCCGUAGGUAAGACUUCUUUAGCCAUGAAUACCAGUGCAACCUUACUUGUACAUCUUAUCUUUUUCAUUUAGAGUUUUUUCCUUAAAAUGACAUUAAAAAUACAUGUCAGCUUUAGUACUGUAAAGACAUGCACUCUGCAGAAUAUCUUAGAGAAUUAGAGAAUAUCAUGCUUAAAACAAAAGUAUUCAUUGAAAUAAAUAAAUGAGAGCUCCUUUAUAAUUUUUGUCCUACAGCUUUAAAAUCUCCAAAGCCAGCAGCAGAACCAGCACCAGCUAUUACUACUGCACCAGUGACAACUCCUGUUGUUGGAAAGAAAGCAGGUAUUUAUGAUAGUUCUAUGCUACUUGUAGGGUUUUUCUCUAUAAGAUAACUAAAUACAUGAAAGAUAAAGACAAUUAAGAGCUGUACAAUCAUAUAACUCAUUCAUUACCAGGUAAUUUUAGAUCCUGUCCCAGGAUCCUGAUAUCCUUGAUACUACCACCUGAUGUGAAGUUUAUCUCUGUGGAAUUCCACUGAGAUGAAUCUGUACUAUUGUUUCUGGAUUGUGAAAUGUAUGCUUGUAUUUUUUUUUUUCCUACUAUGAAGUUUGUGUAUUCUGUUUAUU